CUCAGCUUUUAGGAUAGCCAUCACUCAAAUUACCUAAAAUGCUAACCGGCCAGAAGGAAAGAGCAAGAGAAGAAAAGGAAGGAGGCAAAGAGUAAAAGAGGAGAAAGAAAAGAGUGACAAUGAAAAGCAAGUAAGAAAAGUGAAGAGAGGAAAGAGAAAGAUGGAAGAAGAGCGAGCUGGAUGGCAAAAGGGAGAGAGUGUGAGUAGUGACCCUGAAAAACAACAGUCUGUGAUGAGAUAUGGCCACAGUACGAAUGGUGUAUUUUAGAAACCUUCAGGAAAGAAAAACAGGUACUUUUCCCACAAAUGUAAUAAAGACUCCUCCUUAGCCCGGGUGUCCCACGCUCCUCCCUGAGUCCCAGCGCAGCAUCCCUUCCUUCCCAGAACCCACUUCACCAACAUAUGCUGUUAGUUUCUGCCACCUAAUAUGGGGAGUCCUAUGACGUAAUGGGUCUUUCAGGAUCGUGAUGGGAUCUUGCAAACCCAAAACAACACAUAGUGGGAGAAUUGCUCAAGUGAUUCCUG
This 525-nucleotide long non-coding RNA is filed under the name Pan troglodytes (chimpanzee). RNAcentral describes it as "long non-coding RNA NONPTRT010433". Lineage: Eukaryota; Metazoa; Chordata; Mammalia; Primates; Hominidae. The record is from RNAcentral.